UGCCAGACUCCUACGGGAGGCAGCAGUGAGGAAUAUUGGUCAAUGGGCGCGAGCCUGAACCAGCCAAGUCGCGUGAGGGAUGACGGCCCUACGGGUUGUAAACCUCUUUUGUCGGGGAGCAAAUUCCGCCACGUGUGGCGGAGUCGAGAGUACCCGAAGAAAAAGCAUCGGCUAACUACGUGCCAGCAGCCGCGGUCAUACGUAGGAUCCGAGCAUUAUCCGGAGUGACUGGGUGUAAAGAGUUGCGUAGGUGGCAUAAUAAGUAGCUAGUGAAAUCUGGUGGCUCAACCAUUCAGACUAUUAGCUAAACUGUUAAGCUCGAGACCGUUAGGGGUAACUGGAAUUUCUAGUGUAGGGGUGAAAUCCGUAGAUAUUAGAAGGAACACCAAUAGCGUAGGCAGGUUGCUGGGACGGUUCUGACACUAAGGCACGAAAGCGUAGGGAGCAAACGGGAUUAGAUACCCUCGUA
Molecule: ribosomal RNA, 469 nt
Filed under: uncultured bacterium
Lineage: Bacteria
Description: bacterial SSU rRNA
Rfam family: Bacterial small subunit ribosomal RNA
Source: RNAcentral